GCUGAUGGAGGUGAACUAGUUUGUUCGGCAUCUAUUCCCGAUUGCCAGUGGUCAUCGCAAGGACUGGAAUUAGUCACGGAUAUGAAGAUUUUACCGCUCGGAGUGUAUGAUGCCAUUCUUGGGAUGGAUUGGCUGGAGCAACACAGCCCGAUGACUGUUGAUUGGAGGAACAAGCAUUUGCGUAUCCCAACAGCUCUCGGGCCAGCCAGUUUAUUCGGGCACGAAGCGCAGUCCACCCAAUGCCAUGUCAUCAAUAGUGCUCAGCUGCAACAACUGCAUCGACAGGGGGCUCUGUUGCAUCUCUGUCUGCUCUACCCAAUCAAUGAGAAGCCGAAACACUCAGUGCCUGAAGCCACUGGUCUGCAACAGUUACUGGAAGAAUUUGAGGAUGUGUUUGGUGAGCCACAGGGACUACCCCCCCGACGGGCUUGUGAUCAUAAGAUUCCUCUCAUGCCCGGGGCGCAACCUGUUAACAUUAGGCCCUAUCAUCAUAAACCAGAACACAAGUCAGAGAUCGAGCGGCAGGUCCAAGAACUAUUGCAGUCCGAAGUAAUUCAG
RNAcentral lists this ribosomal RNA (558 nucleotides) under Triticum aestivum (bread wheat). RNAcentral describes it as "partial small subunit ribosomal RNA". The record is from RNAcentral. Lineage: Eukaryota; Viridiplantae; Streptophyta; Magnoliopsida; Poales; Poaceae.